ACAAUAGCAGGCUAGGGUUCCGGUCCACGCAGGUGGAUGACUGGUCCGAGAGCUGGCGACCUCGGUUGGGGUUACACGGCGGGAGAAAAGCCCGGGAGAC
Non-coding RNA from Triticum urartu, 100 nucleotides. NCBI's taxonomy places the organism in Eukaryota, Viridiplantae, Streptophyta, Magnoliopsida, Poales, Poaceae. The record is from Rfam.